RNAcentral lists this ribosomal RNA (449 nucleotides) under uncultured bacterium. Its description in RNAcentral is "bacterial SSU rRNA". It matches the Rfam family "Bacterial small subunit ribosomal RNA", at positions 28 to 477 of the family's 1533-position model. The record is from RNAcentral.
GAUGAACGCUGGCGGCGUGCCUAACACAUGCAAGUCGAGCGAAGCACUUUGCUUAGAUUCUUCGGAUGAAGAGGAUUGUGACUGAGCGGCGGACGGGUGAGUAACGCGUGGGUAACCUGCCUCAUACAGGGGGAUAACAGUUAGAAAUGACUGCUAAUACCGCAUAAGACCACAGCACCGCAUGGUGCGGGGGUAAAAACUCCGGUGGUAUGAGAUGGACCCGCGUCUGAUUAGCUAGUUGGUAAGGUAACGGCUUACCAAGGCGACGAUCAGUAGCCGACCUGAGAGGGUGACCGGCCACAUUGGGACUGAGACACGGCCCAAACUCCUACGGGAGGCAGCAGUGGGGAAUAUUGCACAAUGGGGGAAACCCUGAUGCAGCGACGCCGCGUGAGCGAAGAAGUAUUUCGGUAUGUAAAGCUCUAUCAGCAGGGAAGAAAAUGACGGUA